GGAGAGGUGUCCGAGCGGUUUAAGGAGCCGGUCUUGAAAACCGGUUGGCGCUUAUAGCGCCACGAGGGUUCGAAUCCCUCCCUCUCCG
This 88-nucleotide transfer RNA is filed under the name Candidatus Omnitrophota bacterium. RNAcentral describes it as "Candidatus Omnitrophica bacterium tRNA-Ser". It matches the Rfam family "tRNA". Rfam says of the family: Transfer RNA (tRNA) molecules are approximately 80 nucleotides in length. Their secondary structure includes four short double-helical elements and three loops (D, anti-codon, and T loops). Lineage: Bacteria; Pseudomonadati; Candidatus Omnitrophota. The record is from RNAcentral.